Molecule: long non-coding RNA, 86 nt
Organism: Ipomoea nil (Japanese morning glory)
Lineage: Eukaryota; Viridiplantae; Streptophyta; Magnoliopsida; Solanales; Convolvulaceae
Exons: 3
Source: RefSeq, a predicted model, not a curated record
UUGGCUAUGAUGAUGCUUCCACCAUUGUCUGAAAUGGUUUUGGGUUGGUAUGUUGCUCAUUAGUUUUGGGUUCUAAUCCAAAAAUG